UAGAUCAAUGAUGACCAAUGCUGGUAUAUGUUAUGUAGAUUAUGACUACAGGUUUGGAUGUCUGAGGUGCAC
Cricetulus griseus (Chinese hamster) is the source of this 72-nucleotide small nucleolar RNA. Ensembl annotates it as small nucleolar RNA SNORD113/SNORD114 family. Lineage: Eukaryota; Metazoa; Chordata; Mammalia; Rodentia; Cricetidae. The record is from Ensembl.